CCUACGGGAGGCAGCAGUGAGGAAUAUUGGUCAAUGGGAGAGAUCCUGAACCAGCCAAGCCGCGUGAGGGAAGACGGCCCUAUGGGUUGUAAACCUCUUUUGUCGGAGAACAAAACCCGGGACGUGUCCCGUACUGCGUGUAUCCGAAGACAAAGCAUCGGCUAACUCCGUGGCAGCAGCCGCGGUAAUACGGAGGAUGCGAGCGUUAUCCGGAUUGAUUGGGUUUAAAGGGUGCGUAGGCGGUCCGUUAAGUCAGCGGUAAAAUUGCGGGGCUCAACCCCGUCGAGCCGUUGAAACUGGCAGACUUGAGUUGGCGAGAAGUACGCGGAAUGCGCGGUGUAGCGGUGAAAUGCAUAGAUAUCGCGCAGAACUCCGAUUGCGAAGGCAGCGUACCGGCGCCAGACUGACGCUGAGGCACGAAAGCGUGGGGAUCGAACAGGAUUAGAUACCCGAGUAGUC
RNAcentral lists this ribosomal RNA (459 nucleotides) under uncultured bacterium. RNAcentral's name for it is "partial 16S ribosomal RNA". It matches the Rfam family "Bacterial small subunit ribosomal RNA", at positions 338 to 795 of the family's 1533-position model. The record is from RNAcentral.